This 468-nucleotide ribosomal RNA is filed under the name uncultured bacterium. RNAcentral's name for it is "partial 16S ribosomal RNA". It matches the Rfam family "Bacterial small subunit ribosomal RNA", at positions 28 to 507 of the family's 1533-position model. The record is from RNAcentral.
GACGAACGCUGGCGGCGUGCUUAACACAUGCAAGUCGAACGGAAAGGCCCUGCUUUUGUGGGGUGCUCGAGUGGCGAACGGGUGAGUAACACGUGAGUAACCUGCCCUUGACUUUGGGAUAACUUCAGGAAACUGGGGCUAAUACCGGAUAGGAGCUCCUGCUGCACGGUGGGGGUUGGAAAGUUUCGGCGGUUGGGGAUGGACUCGCGGCUUAUCAGCUUGUUGGUGGGGUAGUGGCUUACCAAGGCUUUGACGGGUAGCCGGCCUGAGAGGGUGACCGGCCACAUUGGGACUGAGAUACGGCCCAGACUCCUACGGGAAGCAGCAGUGGGGAAUAUUGCACAAUGGGCGGAAGCCUGAUGCAGCAACGCCGCGUGCGGGAUGACGGCCUUCGGGUUGUAAACCGCUUUCGCCUGUGACGAAGCGUGAGUGACGGUAAUGGGUAAAGAAGCACCGGCUAACUACGUG